GCUCUCACCCAUGGCGUUUGCUGGUUAUGAGAUUUGCGGAACGUGUGGUGGUGGUAAAGGGCACCAACUGUUGUCAACCUGCAUGUGGGGGUCUGAGGUCUGGCUCUACAGCUUGUAAAAUGGAAAUAAUAAUGCCCAGAGGAUGAAAUUAGGCCACAUAGGCCGCUUGGCAUCAUAACCCUGCACUCAUUGGAUCAGCUGACUACCUAGACCAGUAACCUGGCUCAAUCAGUUCUGCCAUUCCACCCAGGAACAGAAAACAGCAAGAAAACCUCACUUUGACUCCCUGUGAUUCCGUCUUCAACCUGACCAAUCAGCACUCCCCGCUUCCCAAGCUCCUACUCGCCAAAUUAUCUUUAAGAACUCUGAUCCUCAAAUGCUCAGGGAGACUAAUUUGUGUAAUAAUAAAACUCUGGUCUCCCACACAGCUGGCUCUGCGUGAAUUACUCUUUCUCCAUUGCAAUUCCCUGGUCUUGAUAAAUCAGCUUUGUCAAGGCAGCAGGCAGGGUGAACCCACUGAGCGCUGACAUUGUGUGCCAAGCCAUGUUCUUGGGUCUGGAAAUAGAGCAGUGAACAAAAGUGUUUGUUCUCAUAUUAUUGACAGUAAAUAUCAGUUAUUCUGAGGCACAGAGUGGUUUAUUCACUGAAAAAUUUGCACUUUAGGCUGUGCUGGAAACUAUAUAUUAGGCAUUGAGCAUGCUUUACUAAACAAGCAGAUUGUUCUUGUCCUCUGUUUUGUUUUGUGACAGUCUUGCUCUGUCUCCAGGCCGGAGUGCAGUGGCCCAAUCUUGGCUCACUGCAACUUCCGCCUCCUGGUUUCAAGCGAUUCUUAUGCCUCAGACUCCCGAGUAGCUGGGAUUACAGGCAUGCGCCACCACCCCAGCUAAUCUUUGUAUGUUUGGUAUAGACAGGGUUUCACUAUAUUGGCCAGGAUGGUCUUGAUCUCCUGACGUUGUGAUCCGCCCCCCUUGGCCUCCCAAAGUGCUGGGAUUACAGGUGUGAGCCACUGCGCCCAGCCUGUUUUGUUUUAGAGACGAUUUUGCUAUGUUGCUCAGGCUGGGCUCAAGUGGUCCUCCUACCUCAGUAGGAGUAGCUGGGUAGUUGAGUAGCUAGGGCUACAGGUAUGUGCCCCCACAUCUGGCUAAUUUUUUGUAGAGGUGAGGUCUCCCUGUGUUGCCCAGGGUGGUCUCAAAUUCCUCCCACCUUAGCCUUCCAAAUUGCUGAGAUUACAGGUGUGAAGCCACCACACCUGACCUAUCAGUUUAUAGUCAGUGGUUAAGUGUGAUCCUCAGAUCAGCAGUAUCAGUAACACCUGGAAACUUGCUUGAAAUGCAAAUUUCAGACCCGCUUUACAUAGAUAAGAGCCAGAAAUUCUGGAGGUGGGGCCCAGCAAGCUAUGGUUUAAGGCCCUCCAGGUGAUUCCAUUGCUGAUUGAGAACCACUAGUCUAGAUGAAUAAUUUGCCAAAUUCAACUAAGAUAUGUUGAGCACCUGACCUAAACUGGUCCUCUGCUAAGCAUUUUCACAUGAUUCAUCCCACUUGACUCAUAUCGAUAUAGGAAAGUAAAUAUCCUCUGUCUUGCUUAAGGUUGCACCCACUAGGGCCGGGCAUGGUGGCUCAUGCCUGUAAUCCUAGCACUUUGGGAGGCCGAGACAGGCGGAUCACCUGAAGUCAGGAGUUUGAGAGCAGCCUGGCCAACCCUGUCUCUGCUAAAAAUACAAAAAUUAGCUGGAUGUCGUGGCACAUGCCUGUAAUCCCAACUACUCAGGAGGCUGAGGAAGGAGAAUCGCUUGAACCCAGGGGACGGAGGUUGCAGUGAACCAAGAUUGCACCACUGCACUCCAGCCUGGGACACAGGGCAACACUCCAUCUUAAAAAAAAGGUUGCACCCCUGAUAAGUGGUAGAUCCUAGAUUCAGUUUCUUUCUUCCCCCUCCCCCCACCUUUUUUUUUUUCUAUUUGAGACAAGGUCUCUGUCACCCAGGCUGGAGUGCAGUAGCAUGAUCUUGGCUCACUUCACCCUCUGCCUCCCAGGCUCAAGUGAUCCUCCCCACUCAGCCUCCCUAGUAGCUGGGACUACAGGCAUGUGCCACCACUCUUAGCUAACUAAGUUUUGUAUUUUUGUAGAGAUGGGGUUUCACCAUGUUACCCAGGCUGGUCUCAAACUCCUGGGCUCAAGCAAUCUGCCCGCCUUGGCCUUCCAAAGUGCUGGGAUUACAGGCAUAAGCCACCAUGCCCGGACCAUAGUUCAUAGUUUCUUUCUUUUUUUUGUUUUUUGAGAGUCUCACUCUCAAAAGGGGUAUGGGGCGGCUCCAGGGCCAGGGAUGGGACGGCCACAGUUGCGGCAGCUCCAGGACGAGCAAGUGGAUCCCGGGAAGCGCUGUGAGCUCCCGAGCCAGCCGGGAGGACGCUUACUACAGCUGCUCAGAAGCACUGCUGGAAGCUCAGAUGUGGGCGCCCCAGCCAGAAACCUAGAGGGGUACAGGGAAACUACCGAGAAGCCCCUCCUGAUGCCCCAGGGAGCAAGCCAACUCCUUCCAGGCUCCAGGAACACCACAAAGCAAUAUGAAACCUGUUCAUGAGAGGAGUCAGGAAUGCCUUCCACCAAAGAAACGAGACCUCCCCACAACCAGCUGCUCCACUAACCACACACCCUCCAGUGAUGCCUCUGAAUGGUCCCCAGGGGUUGUGGUGGCUGGGCAGAGCCAGAGUCCGCCUCGGGGUGAUGGAGCUGUGGCCAUCACCGGUCUGACAGUGGACCAGUAUGGCAUGCUGUAUAAGGUGGCUGUGCCGCCUGCCACCUUCUCACCAACUGGACUCCCAUCUGUGUGAAUAUGAGCCCCUUGCCCCCAGAAAAAAAAAUUUCAUGUACAGUUGAUUAAAGGGAAUGCUCCAUGGCUACUAGGAAUGAUGAAAAUGGGUUGGGCACGGUGGCUCACGCCUGUAAUCCCAGCACUUUGGUAGGCCGAGGUGGGCAGAUAACCUGAGGUCGGGAGUUUGAGACCAGCCUGACCAACAUGGAGAAACCCCAUGUCUUCUAAAAAUACAAAAUUAGCCGAGCGUGGUGGCUCAUGCCUGUAAUCCCAGCUACUCAGGAGGCUGAGGCAGGAGAGUCACGUGAACCUGGGAGGCGGAUGUUGCAGUGAGCCGGGAUCGUGACGUAACACCCUAGCCUGGGCAACAAGUGCAAAACUCCAUCUCAAAAAGAAAGAAUGAUGAAAAUGUCUGGGCAUAGUGCCUCACACCUGUAAUCCCAGCACUUUGGGAACUGAGAUGGGAGGAUUGCUUGAGUCCAGGAGUUCAAAAACAUAAUGAGACUUGUUUCUCCAAAAAAGAAAAAAAAAAGUUAUAGUUAUUAUUUAUUUAUUUUUGAGUCAGGGUCUUGCUCUGUCACCCAGGCUGGAUUUCAGUGGCAUGAUCUUGACUCACUGCACCCUCCACCUCUUGGGCUCAAGUGAUUCUCCUGCCUCAGCCUCUCAAGUAACUGGGAUUACAGGCACCUGCCAUCAUGCCCAGCUAAUUUUUGUAUUUUUAGUAGAGACGGAGUUUUACCAUGUUGGCCAGGAUGGUCUCAAACUCCUGACCCCAAGUGAUCUGCCUGCCUUGGCCUUCCAAAGUGCUGAGAUUAUAGGUGUGAGCUGCUGCGCCAGGCCAAAAAAAAAAAUUUUUUUUAAACUUAGCUGGGUUAGUCAGGAGGCCAAGAUGGGAGGAUCCCUUGAACCGAGGAGCUUGAGGCUGCAGUGACCUGUCAUUAGGCCACUGCACUCCCGUCUGGGCAACAGAGUGAGAUGCUGUCUCAGGAAAAAAAUAUUUUAAAAAAGUGAUGAAAAUGUAAUAUGUCAUUAGGGAACAUGUCCUAAUAAUGUAAUAACAUAUAUAUGUAGAAUAAGUUCAUUUUUAUAAAGCAAGUAUAUAAUUGUAUAAGAGUACAAAAAAAUGGCCAGGCAUAGUGGCUCAUGCUUUUAAUCCCAGCAUUUUUGGAGGCCAAGGUGGGUGAAUCACCAGAGGUCAGGAGUUCGAGACCAACUUGGUCAACUUAGUGAAACUUCGUCUCUACUGAAAAUACAAAAAAAUUUAGCUGGGUGGGCAUGGUGGCAGGUGCCUGUAAUUCCAGGUACUUGGGAGGCUGAGGUGGGAGAAUUGUUUGAACCCGGGAGGCAGAGGAUACAAUGAGCCAAGUUCGUGCCACUGGAUGUUAGCCUGGGUGACAGAAAAAAAAAAAAAGACAAAAAAAAAAAAAAGAAUAAACCUGGUAUCAUAUAUGUAGCACACAUAUUACCAGUGAUCAUCUUUGUGAUUCUAUGGGAAUAUGGGAAAUCCUCAUUUUCUACAUUACAUAUUUACAUGAUGCUUGAAUUGAAGAGAAAACCAAUACGGAUAUUUUUUAAAUUGUGGUUGUGGAGGGCAAUACUAACUUAUUCAAGAUUAUUCCUAGUAAAGGGCUACUCAAAAUUUACUGGUUUGAAAACUUUGUUAUCACCUGAUAAUUGAGAGCAUUUGGGAACUCUUACAGCAAGUUGAUAUUGCCCAGACUUCCAGAAGUGUCAUCAGUAGAUGGUUCUUGUUGAACAGGGUAUAGACCGCCUUGGGUUACUGAACUUGCAUGGCUAGUUGCAUGUAAACUAGUCACAUGCAGUAAAACCACAUACCACACCAGGCGCAGUGGCUCAAACUUGUAAUCCCAGCACUUUAGAAGGUGGAAGCAGGUGGAUCACCUGAGGUCAGAAGUUCAAAACCAGCCUGGCCAACAUGGUGAAAACCCUUUUCUACUAAAAAUACAAAAGUUAGCCAGGUGUGGUGGCACAUGUCUGUAAUUCUGGCUAUUUGGGAGGCUGAGGUGAGAGAAUUGCUUGAACCUGGGAGGCAGAGGUUUCAGUGAGCCGAGAUUGUGCCACUGCACUCCAGGCUGAGUGACAGAGUGUGUCUCCAUCUCAAAAAAAAAAAAAAAAACACAAAAAAAAGGAUGCCAAAUCAAACAUAACAUUUUAGAAAUCUAUCAUAGGAUAGCCAGGCACGGUGGCUCAUGCCUGUAAUCCCAAAUCCCAGCACUUUGAGAGGCUGAGGCAGGCAGAUUAUGAGGUCAGGAGAUCAAGACCAUCCUGCCCAACAUGGUGAAACCCCGUCUCUACUAAAAAUACAAAAAUUAGCCUGGUGCAGUGGUGGGUGCCUGUAGUCCUAGCUACUCAGGAGACUAAGGCAGGAGAAUCACUUGAACCCGGGAGGUGCAGGUUGCAGUGAGCCAAGAUCACCCAGCCUGGGCAGCAAGAGCGAAAACUCUGUCUCCAAAAAAAAAAAAAAAAAAAAAUCUAUCAUAGGAUUAUAUGAGGAGACCAAUUUUAUUUAUAUAGGAACUAUCUGUCUUUUUACUAGAUCUCUGAGCUCUGGGCAGAGCCCACACUGAUUCCUGGGAUCUCCAAAAAGGGAGCAUUAUUACGAGGCUAGAAUAUGUGAUGCUUUUUCAGUGCACUUAAAAAAUUUUUUUAAAUGAAGACACUUCUGUGUCCGGAAUUGGUGGGUUCUUCGUCUCACUGACUUCAAGAAUGAAGCUGCAGACCUUCGCGAUGAGUGUUAGAGCUCAUAAAGGCAGUGCGGACCCAAAGAGUGAGCAGCAGCAAGAUUUAUUGCAAAGCGCAAAAAAACAAAGCCUCCACAGUGUGGAAGGGGACCUGAGCUGGUUGCUGCCCCUGGCUGGGGCAGCCUGCUUUUAUUCCCUUAUCUGACCCUAUCUCCUAUUACAAAUAGUAGGAGGCCGGGCAUAGUGGCUCACGCCUGUAAUCCCAGCACUUUGGGAUUCUGAGAUGGGUGGAUCACCUGAGGUCAAGAGUUCAAGACCAGCCUGAUCAACAUGGCAAAACCCCAUCUCUAUAAAAAUACGAAAAUUAGCUGGGCAUGGUGGCACAUGCCUAUAGUCUCAGCUACUCGGGAGGCUUAGACAAGAGAAUUGCUUGAACCCGGGAGGUGGAGGAGAUCGCACCACUACACUCCAAUCUUGGCGACAGAGCAAGACUCUGUCUCAAAAAAAAAAAAAAAAGAUUUUUUUAGAUGUUCCCACUUUAUACCAAAAUCUAUGUGGCCACACAAUAAAGCCCUUCUUUGCUAGCUCCAUGGUGAACCUCCUUGUGAUCUUUUCCAAUUCAUUAUCCUGUAAAAUAAGAAAACAAUAAAAAUAAGAUAUAAAAAUCGCUUGAGAUUAUAGCUAGCAUCUUAUUUUCUAUUUAUAGUACAUUCUCAUAUGUCUUCUCUUGUAAUCCUUAGAACAACUCAUAAAGUAGGCAUUGCCAUUUUAAAGGUGAGGAAAUAAGGGAUCAAAAAAGUAGAUUAUAAAAACAGGAUAGUAGAACUAGGACUCAAAUUCCCAUUCUAUUAAUUCCCCACUGAAAAAUAUACUAAGUCUUUUUUUUUUUUUUUUUUUUUGAGAUGGAGUCUUGCUCUCUCGCCCAGGCUGGAGUGCAGUGGCGCGAUCUCGGCUCACUGCAAGCUCCGCCUCCCGGGUUCACGCCAUUCUCUUGCCUCAGCCUCCCGAGCAGCUGGGACUACAGGUGCCCGCCACCACACCCAGGUACUUUUUUUUUUUUGUAUUUUUUAGUACAGACGGGGUUUCACCAUGUUAGCCAGGAUGGUCUCGAUCUCCUGACCUCGUGAUCUGCCCGCCUUGGCCUCCCAAAGUGCUGGGAUUACAGGCGUGAGCCACCACGCCUGGCCUACUAAAUCUUAAUUAAGAUUAAUUGAAAUAUAAUUAUAUUCCAUGUAAAUGGUGAAUUUUAAAGAGAAUAAAAAUCAUACGCGUUUAUGUUUGUAUACAGAUAAUUUAGUAUUAUGUAAAGCAUUGUGACAACCAGUUUGAAUUUGCUUGGAACUGACAGGAUAAAAAGUAAGGUUUUUAUAGGCUUAGUUAAGAUAUUUGUCUAGAAUGAAAUCCUGACUUAAAAACUUCAGAUCACAGUAAUACUUUUUUUCUUUUUGAGACAGAGUCUUUCUCUGUUGCCGAGGGUGGAGUACAGCAGUGAAAUCUCGGCUCACUGCAACCUCUGCCUCCUGAGUUCAAGCAAUUCUCAUGCCUGAGCCUCCCAAGUAGCUGGGAUUACAGGUGCGCACCACUACGCCUGAUUAAUUAGAUCACAGUAAUUCUUAAAUAUGGGUUUAAGUGUCUAACAAUAUGAAAAUAUUAAUUACCUUUUUAAUAAGUAAGAACAUAAUAAUACAAAAAGCAAAAAAAUAAUACAAGACUCAUAAAAACAAAACCAAACAAAACAAAAUGAUAAAGGAUAUAGAUAUUAAGUAGGUGACCUUUAUAUGGCAAAACACUCAAUGAGUUAAUUCUUUACUUUUUUCAUUCCAUUUGAAAAGCAAUGGGGACCAUUGAUCUCACUGAUAUGGGGGAUACAGAGAAGCCCAGUAAUUUCAAGUCCUUCAUAAAUGCACUGUGUGCACAAAUAUCACUUUGAGGCCGGGUGCGGUGGCUCAUGCCUGUAAUCCCAGCACUCUGGGAGGCCAAGGCGGGCAGAUCACCUGAGGUCAGGAGUUCAAGACCAGCCUGGCCAACAUGCUGAUACCGCCUCCCCUACUAAAAAUACAAAAAUUAGUUGGGCAUGGUGGCAUGCACCUGUAAUCCUAGUUACUGAAUCAAGGAGAAUCGCUUGAAUCCGGGAGACGGAAGUUGCAGUGAGCCGAGAUUGCACCAUUGCACUCCAGCCUGGGCGACAGAGCAAGACUCUGUCUCAGAAAAACAAAAACAACAACAAAAAAAAACAAGUAUCACUCUCAUAUUUACAGUAUAGUUCUUGGGAUUGAUCUUAACACCAGCUUUAGCACCCCCAAAUGGCACAUCUGAAAGACAAGGCUGAUGGUUGUUAUUCCAUAUAAAGGUUAAAAAAGUAAAAUGACAGAAAAUGCCACACAAUAUUAGAAAAACGUGUGAUGCUUUAAGCUUGAAUUUCUGAAAGUUCAAGAAAUAAACCUACCAUAGUUUUCUAAACUGUACUUUAAACAACAUUUUAUUGAACAGAAAUUGUUCAAUAAAAUUGGCUAGCCAAGUUCUAAUAUAUAUAUUUUAUAUAAUUAAUAAUAAUUAACCAAUAAUAAUAAAUACUUCAACCUCUAAUCCAUAGAUUGCAAAUACAAUGAUAGCUUAUUUUCUUGGGGAACAGCAGUUGGUGGGGACAGAGGGAAUGGGAAAAGGACUUUUGCUGAAAGGAGGGAUGACAGGAACACAAGGCUAUGGGUGAAAAGAAGAACAAAUAGAACAAACAGCAGAGAGGGCAGCUGGCCGGGGUGGGGUGGGCGCCUCCCUGGCCUUGCUCCAGGACUCAGGACUGGGUCCUGCCUGGGCCACCCCUCCUGCCAAGGCCCUGGCCUCUUCCCAGGGUGACUGGUCCACUCCUAGACCCUAGAACAUCUGAAGGGCAGGGGUCCCAAUGGCCUGAGAGGGUAUGGGCCAGGGGCAGCAGGCUGACCCACCUGGGCCCAAAAGCCACCUGUGUUUGGGGGCCGGCAUGCUGUCUAGAGAGAGUGCCCUGGGAAAGGGGCACACGGGAGUUUCUCUCCUGAGAAGCCCCCAUGCAGGUCGGGGCAAAGGAGAGGGCUUUAUCUGCCUUGAGGGCAGCGCUCCCUAAGUGAAGCAGGCCUACCCCAGAAGCACAGGGACUUGGCUGGCGCCUGAACUUCCUGUGCGAAGCAGCACCUGCUCUUGGAGCCCCUUAGCCUGCUGGUGCACACCUGGUUUCCAAGUCCUGCCUGGGGACUUGCUAGGUGGGGGACGGACCUGGAACAGGACCCUAAGCCCACCCCCUCCGCAUACCUGGCGGUCCAGGGCUCCCCGCCCAGUGGAGCCAGCACAGGCUAGCCAGGCCCCACUCCUGCGUCACCCCCGGAGGCCAAGCUCCUCUCCUGCACUGGUGCCGUCCUGCCUGGCAGGUAGUUCUGGGGGCAGGGUCAAAGGAGAAGGGAGGGCCGCAGCCCUCUGGGAAUGGCCUUUCUGAGCCACCAGUGGCUGGACUGGGGCUCUGGCAGGAGUUGGGGACAUUAACAACACCCCCAUCCUCCCCUGGGCUCCACCUCAUCUGACGCUCCAGAACCCCCUGCCCCAAGCCCCUACACACUCUGUUCUAUUCCUCAGCCCCUCUCAACGUCCUGGCACCAUGGGGCCCAAUGCCUGUCCUCCCUUGAGAAGGAACAGCUCUGGGGCAACGGGCAGCGGGGUGCCCUCCCUGCCACCAAGAUUUGGUGCCUGGAGCUGGUGGAGGGCUGGCCGCAUCUCUCUGGCACACCAGCUCCUGCUCCCCCAACCUAUGGCUUUGGGGCAGAGCCUGAAGGGAGGAAGAAGGUGGGGGGGGGGGUCCGCGGCUGUUUGUGGCAAAUAAGCUUUUUUUUUUUCCUUUUUUAAUCCUUUUUCUUAUGUAAAAAGUGCACAAAAGCUCGGCAGCCUUUGCAAGUGUCAGCAGUGUUUCCUGGGGUGGGGGAACUGGGAGGGGCACCAGGCCUGGCACCCACCUUGCGACUGAAGGUGGCCUCGUAUUGCUUAGAAAGGUAUGUUUCAGUUUAAAUACCAGACAGUAAAAAUAGAGCUCGAGGACCACCUGCACUGUUGCCAAAUCAUUGCCAGAAUGAAUAGCUUAAAUAAAUAAAAAAUAGAAAUAUUUACUUCUCAAUAAAAAUAAAAGUAAAACCAUUUACCUUUCUUUGCAUUAUAUAUAAUAUAUAUUUAUAACGGGUCUGGCUGUGGGCAGCGGAGCUAAGGGCAGCGGAGGGGUCAGGACAUCUCGAUGACCUCCACGCUGCCCGAGAAGCUCGCCUGCUUGCCCAUGGCGGCCAGCUCCUCGCCGCGAGUGCGCCCCUCCAGGAUGCCCUCCUCGAACUCCAUCUGGCAGCUGCAGCGCUUGAUCUGCGUCUCCGUCUCCGGGGCGGCUCGUCGGGCCAGUUGGUCCGCGCGUCCCGGGGCUCAGCCCUUGCUGCCUCCGGCCGCCGCAGGUCGCUGCCGCCGCCCCGUCUCGGGGCGCCCGCCUGGCCAAAGGGCGCGAACAGCACCCCGCCCGCCCCCUGCGCGCCCUCGGGGCUGAAGCACUAGGGCCCGUCGGGCGACGGCGUGCCCGGGGAGUCAAGCGGUGGCGCCCAGACUCCGGGGCCGGCUGGCCAGGGCCGGGCAGCCUGGGCGCCGACAGGGCCGAGAGGCCGAGGCUGUGCGCGGGGGAGCGGGGAGCCGGCUGGGGGCCUGGGCCGCCCGCAGGGCCGUGGGCGCGCGGCAUCCGGGCUGUCGGGGCUGGGCGAAGGUAGGCUCAGCGUGGCUCCGACGGGCCGUGCAGCUUGCAGAGCUUUGGGACCUCGCCGGGGUCGGGUGACCCGGGGCCGUUGGGCCGCCGGCCGGGGGUGUUCGCUGAUUUGAUGUACAGCGAGAAGGAGCGCUUGAGGCGGUUGGUGUCCUGCAGGCGGUCAGAGGAGAGUACAGGCCGCGCAGCCCUGCUGCAGCGCGCAGGUGUCUGGGGGCGUGGGGGGCAGUGGGGGCUCCCCGCCCGCGCUCAGGCCGCCCUCCCUGGCAGCUGCACUCCCGGUGGCAGCGCUUUCUGAGGUAGGUGGUGGCAGCCAUGGCAGCCGGGCCCCAGCCGCAGGGCUGGGCGGAGGCUCCGGCGUCCCUGAGGGGGUGCCCGCAUCCCCCUGCACGGUGGCCAGCAGCUUCAGGCUGCGCUCCUACUCCAGCAGCUGGCCCAGGAAGUUGAAGUUGGGCGAGAUGGACUGGCGCCUAUCCUUCAUGAACCUGUAGGUGUCGUCGGAGGAUAUGCCCAUGGUCUUCAUGAUGUAGGCGAUGGCGAUGGUGGCAGAGUGGGAGAUACCGACCAGACAGUGGACGAUGACUUGGCAGCUGGACAGCUUGCCUUUACAGAUGAACUCCAUAGACUUGUCCAGCCAGGGCAGCAGCUUUUCACAGUAGUUGUCGUUGAUGGGGACCCGCAUGAAGCGGCUCUCGCAGAUGAAGUCAGGCUUGGGGCAGGAGUUGCUGGCAUUGAGGACGUAGCUUAUUCCAUUCUGUGUCGUCAGAUCCUUGUUCAGAACGUCUUUCUGCGAGCCCAGGUAGAGGUGAGGCAGGAUGAGGGUCAGGCUCACGCUAGGCACGGGCAGGCAGGGCUGGGAGAGGCUCAUGGGUAGCAGGGCAGCAGGCUUGCCCUGGCAGAGGCUGGGGAAGCAGGAGGAGAAGGUGGCGAAGCCCCCCGUGAGGAUGGCCACGCUGUCGAAGCAGCUGUCCAGCUUGCUCAGCAGGAUGGAGAGGAAGCGGUCUGCGGCCAGCACACUGGCGUCCCGUGUGCUCUGGUCAUAGACCACCAUAUCCUGUGGCUCAGUGGCCUCCAUUUGGCUGCGUGUGGCCAGCCAGAUGAACUCUGCAAUGGUCACCUUGCCCUUCUGCAGCCGGCACUUCACCAGCUUGGAGCAGCAGAUGUUGACGGAGCUGAGCACAUGCCAGCUGUUGUACUCCAGGAAGGAGCGGCUGUAGAUGACCAGGCACCCUAGGCCCGCCCCGCAGCAGGCUGGCCAGCUUCUUGGCGUCCAUCAUCUUCCUCGGGAGCCGGUCUCCGGCCAUGGUGGGGCAAUGGGUGGUGGGGAGGGUGACCCCUGACGUGAGGAGGGGUUGCUCGGAUGGCCCAAGUGUGGCCUUGCACUGGGAGUGACCUAGCACAUGGUGCCGGACCUCGUUAGCGCUCGCCUCGGGGGGCGUUCCGGGGGACCCGCGCUGCCCUCGCCAGCUCGGCUGCGCCGACCAUGGGCCCUUUGGCGGGGGCCCGCGCAGCCAAGGCAGGGGCGGGGUCUCUAAUAUAGAGUUAAUCAGUGCUCUUUACAACUUCUAAAAGAUAAUAGCUUAUUUACUAUCCUUCUACUAUAAUUUGGUCUUAUUUAUAGAAUAUGUUGAGGAAUUGAAAACAAAGAUCUAGACUUAAAAUUCAAUAAGCUCCUAUAAAAAAAAUCCCUCACAUAAAAAAAGGCUAUAUAUUAAUUUAGACUAAUUGAAAAAUGAUGCAGGUCUUAAAGAGGACAACUUAAAAAAAAUCAGUUCUGAUAAGGUAUAUUUCUAUAGCAUCUUAACAGUAACCAUGUGAGUAAACAUAUUUCCCCAGAGUUCUCAUUAGGUAGCAAGAAAGGCGAUCACUUACCAACCACUGCACACUUGUAUGUCAUCAGGGAAGCCAAAGUUUUUACUUCAUCUACACUCACAUCAAUGCUGUAAUGGAUAUUUGGUGGUGUUUUUUUUAAAAAUGUGUUGGGGUAGGUGAGAAAGAAGGGGAUAUAUUUAGAACAAACUUCAGUAAGUUUCAAAAAAGAAAGCUACAAAUUGAAAAUAUCCACUUUUUACAUUUUACACCCAAGCUAUGUCCAAAAACACUUGAAGCAGCUCAUAUGUCAGAACACCAUAAAAAAUGAAUAUAAAACGUUUAAAAAACUGCUAAUAACAGUAACUAUGAUUUCACAAGACAAAAAUCACUGUGCAAUGAAUUUUUUUACACUUUCCAGAAGGCUUUUUUAUGUUCCUUUUACCUUUUGGUUUGGGUGACUCCGGGGUGGCCAGGACCAAAUGUGUCUCCUUCUGGCUUUUUGCACCACACCAAGUAACCCGCGCCAGGCCGCACAGCUGCCCUGGCCUUGGGGAGGACUAAGGCAAGGGCGGUGUACGCUGCUCCGGAGUCCCACCGCAGGAGUUGAGGCAGCGAGUUCCGAGGGCGGGGUGGGGCGGAAUCGGGAGGGAUACGGACCCGGUGGAACGCACUGCGUAGACGGCGCCGGCGCCCGCACUCAGCUGUUGACAGUCUUUCUUCCAGCUCUCCCCUGAAAGUCGUCCAGGCGCCGGUCUCUUUUUUCUGCCUUUUUGUUUCCCUCCGGAGAGUCGGCGCGACGGUGAAUUUCCGUUUCCGGUGGUGUCCAAUCCGACCUGAGGAGUCACAGUUGUGAGCAAAUUAGAAUUACUUGUUAUUGGUAAAUAGCCACUAUGGAGACUAAGGACCAGAAGAAACAAAGAAAGAAAAAUAGUGGACCCAAAGCUGCAAAGAAAAAGAAGCGGCAUCUGCAGGAUCUCCAGCUAGGAGACGAAGAAGAUGCCUGGAAGAGAAAUCCCAAAGCUUUUGCAUUUCAGUCUGCUGUGUGGAUGGCUCGAUCCUUUCACAGGACUCAGGAUUUGAAGACAAAAAAGCAUCAUAUUCCAGUGGUUGAUCGAACUCCACUAGAGCCCCCACCAAUAGUGGUAGUGGUGAUGGGGCCUCCAAAGUUGGAAAGAGCACUUUGAUACAAUGCCUCAUUCGGAACUUCACCCGGCAGAAGUUGACCGAGAUCAGAGGCCCUGUGAUGAUCGUGUCAGGUAAAAAGCUCCGACUCACCAUUAUUGAAUGUGGGUGUGACAUUAACAUGAUGAUUGAUCUGGCUGAAGUAGCAGAUCUGGUACUGAUGCUUAUAGAUGCCAGCUUUGGGUUUGAAAUGGAAACGUUUGAGUUUCUAAACAUCUGUCAAGUACAUGGCUUUCCUAAAAUUAUGGGAGUUCUCACCCACCUCGACUUCUUCAAACACAAUAAGCAACUGAAGAAGACAAAGAAGCGAUUAAAACACAGGUUCUGGACAGAAGUUUACCUGGUUGCCAAGCUGUUCUGCCUUUCUGGAAUGGUGCAUGGAGAAUAUCAAAACCAAGAAAUGCACAAUCUGGGCCAUUUUAUUACAGUUAUGAAGUUUAGGCCUCUCACAUGGCAGACUUCUCAUCCUUAUAUCCUGGCAGACAGGGUGGAAGAUUUGACAAACCCAGAGGAUAUCCAAACAAACAUCAGAUGUGACCAGCAGAUGUUACUUUACGGUUAUUUAAGAGGAGCGCACUUGAAAAAUAAAAGCCAAAUUCACAUGCCAGGACGAGGUGGGGCCCACCCAUGAGCUGGUCCAGAGUCUCAUCUCCACCCACUCCACCAUUGAUGCCAAGAUGGCUUCAAGUCGAGUGAUGUUGUUUUCUGAUUCCAAGCCACUUGGGUCAGAGGCUAUAGAUAAUCAAGGGUAAGUCUGCUUUUUUUCUAUUUUUAAUAAAAAUAUAUAUUACAGAAGAUCAUAUCACCCAUAAUUCUGCCAUCAUAACACAUUUUGGUGGGAUUCAUUCUAUGUUGUUUUGUUUUUCUUUGUGUGUGCAUGUGUCUCUGAGGGCUCUUCACUUACCUGACAUUAUGAGGGAGUCUUUUCUUGAAAUAAAAUACAGGAUGCAUUUUUCAAGAGACCCCAAAUAUUCCUCAAAUACCACGCCAUCUUCCAUAGGUUGCUUUUUUGUUUUUUAAGAGACCUGAGGCCACUUGGCUUUCUUUUGGUGGCCAAAACACUAGAGCAGAAACAGGGAGUUUGUGGCUGUCCAGAAGCCACAUGCCUUGUCUCUGAAAGUUUUAUUUAGAUUAUGUUGUAUUAUCUCCUAUGGGUAGGUUUCCACUGAUGUGUGGCUUAUGUGAAUUAUUUUUCAGCCUUUCUUGGGAAUUUGUAUACCUUUAUGCUUAGUGGAUGUUUGCAAAACAUUGGUUUUGUUGUAUUAGUUUAUGACUCCCAGUAAAAUUUAUCUGAAAAUUUUGAGAUAAUCUAGUAUGUAAUUUGUUACAAUGUGCACAAACUACGUACUAAAGUUCCUGACAUAAUGAGUGUUAUUAGCUAUUUUCAUUUUUGCAUAUCCUUCUGGUCAUCCUUGUCUACAAGAAUACUCUCUUCUAAUAUAGUUACAGGUAAAAUACAUAAUUUAUUUCUAUAUUCUGAGCGUUUUGUUUUCUAUACAGUCUUUAUGUAGUUGUCAUUUUGUUGUUCCUGGUGUUUUUUUUUGUUACUGUGGUUUUUUUGUUUUGUUUUGAGAUAAGAUCUCACUUUGUCUCCCAGGCUGGAGUGCAGUGGCGUGAUCUUGGCUCACUGCAGCCUUGAACUCCCAGGCUCAAGUGGAUCCUCCCUCUUCAGCCCCGCAAGUAGCUGGGACUACAGGAGUGCACCACCACCCCCAUCUAAUAUUUUUUUGUUGUUAUUCUAGGGACGAGUUCUCACUAUGUUGCCCAGGCUGGCCUCGAACUCCUGGGCUCAAGCAAUCCUCCUGCGUUGGCCUCCCAAAGUCCUGGGAUUACAGGUGUAAGCCACUACGGCUGGCCUAUUAUUGCUGUAUUCUAACUUAUUCAUCUCCUAUGCUAGGCUAGCCUCCAAGCUGGAAGCUGAAUUGACAGUUGAAAAAUAAUGACAUGUAUACAAGUGUCAGAGAUGGCUUUGGAUUCCCCGUUCUGUGUGCUGCUGUCUGGCUCCUGAACCCAGCUGUAGAGGUGUGUCAAUCCCAACUGGUGAAGUACUGAGAGGAAGCUACACAAAAGGCAGCAAAGUAUUAGUGAGUGGUGUCAUUGAGCAAACACGAAGUCGGGCUCAUCCAAGGAUGAGAUUUUGCCAGAGAAAGGACGAGCAGCAAGUCAGGGAGCUUAAGCGUCAGCCUCGAGUUUGACCAGCAACAGGGGUCGGUGUGUCCCUCUGAAUCUGAGAUCUAUGAGGCAGGAGCUGGGGACAGGAUGGCAGGAGCGCCCAUGGCUGCUGCUGUGCAGCCUGCUGAGGUGACCGUUGAAGUUGGUGAGGACCUCCACAUGCACCACAUUCGUGACCAGGAGAUGCCUGAAGGUAAGGAGGUGAUAGGUGCCAUCUACCCUCGGUUUGCCUCUGGCUGCUGCUGUCCCCAAGGUUCCCUUUACGGCAUCCCCCACUUUGAGCUCCUUUCUGCUUGUAGCCAGCUUUCCCGGGGGCUGGCCAGGAACAAAAGCUGGCUCUGCCUUGAAUUCCCACCCCUUAGUCUUUCCUCACCGAGUCCAGUCAGUUUCUUUUCGCCUCCCCUCCCAAUCGCCCAGUUCUUGCUCUCUCAUCUCAUUCUCCCAGGCUGGCAUGGGACCAUUUAUUUAUGGCUCUUGUCAAAUAAGCAGCAGUUGAAUAAAUGAGUUGAUAAAUUUUUAUAAAUGAUUACAUCUUUUUUCUUUUCUCCCUCUAUACAUAUAGCUUUGGAGUUUAGCCUUUCUGCCAAUCCAGAGGCAAGCACAAUAUUCCAGAGGAACUCUCAAACAGAUGCUUUGGAGUUUAACCCUUCUGCCAAUCCAGAGGCAAGCACAAUAUUCCAGAGGAACUCUCAAACAGAUGUUGUAGAAAUAAGAAGAAGCAACUGUACAAACCAUGUAUCUACUGAGCGUUUCAGUCAACAAUACAGCUCGUGUUCGACAAUAUUCCUUGAUGACAGCACAGCCAGCCAGCAUUAUCUUACAAUGACAAUAAUAUCUGUGACCUUGGAGAUACCUCAUCAUAUCACACAAAGAGAUGCAGAUAGAUCUUUGAGCAUACCUGAUGAACAGUUACACUCAUUUGCGGUUUCCACCGUGCACAUUACGAAGAACAGAAAUGGAGGUGGGAGUUUAAAUAACUAUUCCUCCUCCAUUCCAUCGACUCCCAGCACCAGCCAGGAGGACCCUCAGUUCAGUGUUCCUCCCACUGCCAACACACCCACCCCCGUUUGCAAGCGGUCCAUGCGCUGGUCCAACCUGUUUACAUCUGAGAAAGGGAGUCACCCAGACAAAGAGAGGAAAGCCCCGGAGAAUCAUGCUGACACCAUCGGGAGCGGCAGAGCCAUCCCCAUUAAACAGGGCAUGCUCUUAAAGCGAAGUGGGAAAUGGCUGAAGACAUGGAAAAAGAAAUACGUCACCCUGUGUUCCAAUGGCGUGCUCACCUAUUAUUCAAGCUUAGGUGAUUAUAUGAAGAAUAUUCAUAAAAAAGAGAUUGACCUUCGGACAUCUACCAUCAAAGUCCCAGGAAAGUGGCCAUCCCUAGCCACAUCGGCCUGUGCACCCAUCUCCAGCUCUAAAAGCAAUGGCCUAUCCAAGGACAUGGACACCGGGCUGGGUGACUCCAUAUGCUUCAGCCCCAGUAUCUCCAGCACCACCAGCCCCAAGCUCAACCCGCCCCCCUCUCCUCAUGCCAAUAAAAAGAAACACCUAAAGAAGAAAAGCACCAACAACUUUAUGAUUGUGUCUGCCACUGGCCAAACAUGGCACUUUGAAGCCACGACGUAUGAGGAGCGGGAUGCCUGGGUCCAAGCCAUCCAGAGCCAGAUCCUGGCCAGCCUGCAGUCAUGCGAGAGCAGUAAAAGCAAGUCCCAGCUGACCAGCCAGAGCGAGGCCAUGGCCCUGCAGUCGAUCCAAAACAUGCGUGGGAACGCCCACUGUGUGGACUAUGAGACCCAGAAUCCUAAGUGGGCCAGUUUGAACUUGGGAGUCCUCAUGUGUAUUGAAUGCUCAGGAAUCCACCGCAGUCUUGGCACCCGCCUUUCCCGUGUGCGAUCUCUGGAGCUGGAUGACUGGCCAGUUGAGCUCAGGAAGGUUAUGUCAUCUAUUGGCAAUGACCUAGCCAACAGCAUCUGGGAAGGGAGCAGCCAGGGGCAGACAAAACCCUCAGUAAAGUCCACGAGGGAAGAGAAGGAACGGUGGAUCCGUUCCAAAUAUGAGGAGAAGCUCUUUCUGGCCCCACUACCCUGCACUGAGCUGUCCCUGGGCCAGCACCUGCUGCGGGCCACCGCUGAUGAGGACCUGCAGACAGCCAUCCUGCUGCUGGCACAUGGCUCCCGUGAGGAGGUGAACGAGACCUGUGGGGAGGGAGACGGCUGCACGGCGCUCCAUCUGGCCUGCCGCAAGGGGAAUGUGGUCCUGGCACAGCUCCUGAUCUGGUACGGGGUGGACGUCAUGGCCCGAGAUGCCCACGGGAACACAGCGCUGACCUACGCCCGGCAGGCCUCCAGCCAGGAGUGCAUCAACGUGCUUCUGCAGUACGGCUGCCCCGACGAGUGCGUGUAGUAUCUGUUUUAUUUGACUGCAGUCUCCUUGGUGCAAAAACAAAAUGGGAAAAAUAAGGAUAACUCAGAAUUUCAAAAGGAAAUCACAAAUUCAGCUAGUAAUAGCAUUUUCAGUACUUUUCAUAAACUAAGUAAAUACACAAAAUGUUGAUUUUUCUGACCAUAAGACAUAUUUUAUGUCCUUUUGCCAAGGUGGAUGUGUUAGUCUCAGGCCCUCCUGGCCACAUUGCCCAAGUCACACAGGCUUCUGUAUUAUGUAUUUAGAUAAAAUGUGUGAAAAUAUAUUUGAAAAAAAAGUUCAUAAAUAUGCAUUGAUUUUUGUACACAUGGCACCUCUUUUUCAUUUUUAUUUUUAUUUUUUUUUUGGACGAUGUUUUGCUCUGUUGCCCCAGCUGGAGUGCAGUGGCAUGAUAUCUGCUCACUGCAAGCUCUGCCUCCCGGAUUCACACCAUUCUCCUGCCUCAGCCUCUCAGGUAGCUGGGACUACAGGUGCCUGCCACCACACCUGGCUAAUUUUUUGUAUUUUUAGUAGAGACGUGGUUUCACCAUGUUAGCCAGGAUGGUCUCGAACUCCUGACCUCGUGAUCCACCUGCCUCGGCCUCCCAAAGUGUUGGGAUUACGGGCGUGAGCCACCGUACCCGGCCCAUGGCACCUCUCUUAAUUUAUAAAUUGAACUGGAUGUGAAGUAAUAAUGUCAGCUAGUUGAGAUAAGAGGGUUACAGUUCGGCUGGGCGCAGUGGCUCACACCUGUAAUCCUAGCACUUUGGGAGGCUUAGGCGGACUGAUCACCAGGUCAGGAGAUUGAGACCAUCCUGGCUAACAUCAUGAAACCCCAUCUCUACUAAAAAAUACAAAAAAUUAGCUGGGCAUGGCCGGGCGUGGUGGCUCACACCUGUAAUCCCAGCACUUUGGGAGGCCGAGGCAGGCGGAUCACGAGGUCAGGAGAUCAAGACCAUCCUGGCUAACAUGGUGAAACCCCGUCUCUACUAAAAAUACAAAAAAAAAAAAAAAAAUUAGCCAGGUGUGGUGGCAGGCACCUGUAGUCCCAGCUACUCGGGAGGCUGAGGCAGGAGAAUGGUGUGAACCCAGGAGGCGGAGCUUGCAAUGAGCUGAGAUUGCACCACUGCACUCCAGCCUGGGCAACCAAGCGAGACUCCAUCUCAAAAAAAAAAAAAAAAUUAGCUGGGCAUGGUGGCGGGCACCUGUAGUCCCAGCUACUUGGGAGGCUGAGGCAGGAGAAUGGCAUGAACUCAGGAGGCAAAGCUUGCAGUGAGCAGAGACUGUGCCACUGCACUCCAGCCUGGGCAACAGAGCGAGACUCUGUCUCAAAAAAAAAAAAGAAAAGAAAAAGAGGGUUACAGAUCAUUGCACAUGGAAAAUAUUCCCAGCAGUAAACACUUCCAUUAAUGUGAUCUACAGCUUUUAAAAAGGAGCAUCUCAGAAUAAGAUGGUGGUACAAUUUGCUUAUUGAGAAAGGAAAAAAAAAACACACGAGUAUAUUACAAAGGGAAAAGAAGGAAUGUGAUUUCUCAUGAUUGAAAGCUUGAUUUAGAUUGCAUACAGCUUUUGCUACCCAAGACCAAGCGGCUCUGGCAAGACAGGGUGGUUUUCCGAAUGCCAGACCGAGGUGCCUUAUGAAGGCAGCUGCCGAUGGUUCCAGAUGUAGAGAGAUAGGUGAUGCAGGAGGGAAAGCUGGAUUGGAAAAGGGAGAGUUUUGUAGACCGGCUACACUCAUUGUGCCUUUGAAAGAGCAGAGCCGGCAGCCUCUAGUCAUCAUUUGGAUAUACAGGACUGGAGCAUGAAUCUGAUGUAGAGCUACAGAAUGAAGAGCAACAGCAGCUGUUUAAAUACCGAGAAAGUGUGUAGAAUGAAAUUGGACAAGCCAAGCAUGGUGGUUUCAUGCCUUUAGUCCUAGCUACUUCGGAGGCUGAGGUGGGGGAAUUACUUGAGCUCAGCAGUUUGAGUCCAGCCUGGGCCAGAUGUUGAGACCCUGUAUCUUAAGAAAAGAAAAAAAUAAGACCAGGUACAGUAUCUCAUGCCUGUAAUCCCAGCACUUUGGGAGGCCAAGUUGAGAGGACUGCUCGAGUGUAGGAGUUCAAGACCAGACUGGGCAAUAAAGUGAGACCCAUUUCUUUUUUUUUUUUUUUUAACUUCUUAAAUGCACAAAUUUAUUUUUUCUCAACAAACACACAUCUUAAUGCCUUUACAACUUUUAUCUCCCCAAAUAUAUCUUGCUUUUCUUUAUAUGUGCUGUAUACAGAGUUGUUUUCCUUAUAUUUAGUAGUUAUUGCUUUUUUGUGCCCUUUUGCGUCCUGAAUUUACACAUCAGGCAUAGAUCUUGGGACAGGAAAGAGCUGUGAAGCAAAUUCCUGGAAAAUCAAACCCCUUCCAGCAUGGCCAGGUAGCACAGCUGAGCCAGGGAUGAUGGGGCCAUAUUGGGUUUGGCUCUGCCUUGCAGCUGGCAGUCCAAACACUGAGGACAUGCAUAUUUCUGCAGGCCAGUGAGACCCAUUUCUACCAAAAAAAAAAAAAAAAAAUCAAGAAAUUAGCUGGACAUGGUGGCACAUGCCUGUGGCCCCAGUUACAUGGCAUGGCAGGCUGAGGCAGGAAGAUCACUUGAGCCCAGGAGGUGGAGGCUGCAGUGACCCAUAUACAUGCCACUGCACUCCAGCCUGGGCAACAGAGUGAGACCCUCUCUCAAAAACAGAUAAAGUGGACAGAAAAUAGGUUGGUAAGGACUAAUCAUUUAAGGGACAAGCCCCCAGAAGAGUGGCUACUAGAGUGGGAGGAGGAAAAGCAGAAGGAGAAAGAGUUGAAGACAGGCGAGGCUGUGGUCCCAGUGCUGAAUUCUGCCAAGCAGUGACUUGAUUCAUGAACACUCACUGGAUGCUGACUCUGUUGCUCUUCUGAGUGCUGGGGUAGAGGAGAGGAGAGGUGGAGCCCAGUUCUUGCUUUUAGGAGCUUAUGUUCUAGGAAGUUCAAGUAUUUUUUCAGGUAGUAUGAAAUAGCAGGAAGAGGAAGCAGGCUAAAGGGACACAGAGUGAUUGGGGGCUAUUUUAAGUAGAAUGAUAAGGAAGAGCCUGUCUAGAGAGCUAUUUGAACAAUGACCUGACUGAAGGGACAACAGAAAGCAGUGCUGACAUUACAGGUAGCAGGAUGACUGCCAAGACAGAAACGCAUUUCAUAUGUGUUUGAGGAACAAACAGCAAGGUGACCAGCAUGGGGAGAGUGAAGAAUGAGGGAAACCUUGAAUGAGAGUAAAGCAAUUCCAUCUUGGAGGCUAAUCUGCCAUAUUCUGAUUAAUCCCAGUUCCAAGAAUUCAUCUACAAUUUCUAUUUUAUCUUUUUAAAAAUAUUAUUUUUUAUUUUUUAUUUUUUGAGACAGUCUCACUCUGUCUCCCAGGUUGGACUGCAGUGGCACAAUCUCAGCUCACUGCAAACUUCACCUCCUGGGUUCAAGCGAUUCUCCUGCCUCAGCUUCCCGAGUAACUGGGAUUACAGGCGCCUGCCACCAUGCCUGGCUAAUUUUUGUAUUUUUAGUACAGAUGAGGUUUUACCAUGUUGGCCAGGCUGGUCUGGAACUCCUGACCUCAGGUGAUCCGCCCACCUUGGCCUCCCAAAGAGCUGGGAUUACAGGCGUGAGCCACCGUGUCUGGCCAUACACAUCCCUGCCGAAGCCCGCAUUACCCUUCCCCUAUGCUAUAGAAGCCCUGGGUCGGGGGGGUGGGGGUAAUGGCACAGGGAUCCACCAUCUUAUCUUGGUGCCAUCCCUGACUUGGCUUCUGUUCAUAAACGCCUAUUAAAUGUUUCUUUCUGAGAAACUGGAUUUGUCAGCCUCUUUCUUUGGUAUCUCAGGUUCCUUGGCCUUUGCGGGUAGGUUUAUAUAGACCUGCUCAGCACAGGACAGGCAGUUUCUCAAAAAAUUAAAAAUAGAAUUACCAAAUGAUCCAGCAAUAUCACUUCUGGGUAUAUAGCCAAAAUAAUUGAAAGCAAGGUCUCAUAGAAAUAUUUGUACACUGAUAUUUAUAGCAGUGGUAUUCACACUCAUCAAAAGAUGGAUGCAGCCUAAUUGUCCAUAGGCAGAUGAAUUGAUAAAAUGUGGUAUAUACAUACAAUAAAAUAUUCUUCAGCCUUAAAAAGGAAGGAAAUUCUAACACAUGCUACAACAUGGAUGAACAUUGAGGACAUUAUGCUAAGUGAAAUAAGCCAGUUAGAAAAAGACAAAUACUGUGUUCUUUCACUUAUGUGAAGCAUCCAGACUGAGUAAGCAAACUAAUAGAAACAGAAAGUAGAACGGGGGUUGCCAGGGACAUGGGGAAGGGAGAAAAUGGGAAGUUGCUUAGUGGAUAUAGAGUUUUGGUUUUGUCAGAUGAAAAAGUUCUGGAGAUUGGUUGCAUGGCAAUGUGAAUAUACUCUACAUUACCCAACCCAAGGGCUCUCCUUAACCCCUGUUCCGACUGCCACUUAGAAGUGGUUAAGGUAGUAAAUUUUAUGCAUAUUUUACCACAAUUCAAAAUAGAAUUAUUAUUUUUUUAUUAUAAUUUUUUGAGAUCCCUCACUCUGCUGCCCAGGCUGGAGUGCAAUGGCACCGUCUCGGCUCACUGCAACCUCUGC
This 22440-nucleotide long non-coding RNA is filed under the name Homo sapiens (human). Its description in RNAcentral is "non-protein coding lnc-AGAP5-1:22". The record is from RNAcentral. Lineage: Eukaryota; Metazoa; Chordata; Mammalia; Primates; Hominidae.